Molecule: ribosomal RNA, 546 nt
Filed under: Triticum aestivum (bread wheat)
Lineage: Eukaryota; Viridiplantae; Streptophyta; Magnoliopsida; Poales; Poaceae
Description: partial small subunit ribosomal RNA
Source: RNAcentral
AUGCAGAAGCCCUCCACGCCCACGUCCUGCGCCGUGAGCACCAGCGCGAUGCCGCCCUUCGCGGGCCUCGCCUUCGCCGCCAGCGCCGGGAGCUGGGACAGCUUCAGGCUCUUCCCGAGCGAGCACGCCUCGUCGGAGACCUGGCCGGACAUGACCACUCGCGCAGCCUUGGUGGCGUCGGCGCCGUGCUCGCCGUUCUUGCCGACGGCCGCCGCCUUGGAGAGGUACAGCUGGUGGAUGCUGCUCCACCACUGGGACACGGACGGCGCCGGGGACGCGCGGGGCGCGGCGGAGAGGGAGAGGAGGAAGUCGGAGACGAUGGCCUUCUGCGCAGCCGUGAAGCGGCCGUACCAGAGGACGGAGACGGGGAUAUCGCCGUGCAGCACGGCGCCGUUGUGGUACGUGAGGAGGUUCGGCUGGGGCUGGACCAGGAACAUGAGCUUCCUCGUGCUCGUGGCAACCGACGCGGCCGCCAAGUUUGUGGCGAGCGCCAUUAGCGCCAGGAGGAGGAGGUUUCUCUUGGCCAUUAGGGGAGGAGGGGUUUAG